Mesoplodon densirostris (Blainville's beaked whale) is the source of this 73-nucleotide non-coding RNA. The record is from the annotation of a RefSeq genome assembly. NCBI's taxonomy places the organism in Eukaryota, Metazoa, Chordata, Mammalia, Artiodactyla, Ziphiidae.
UCCCCAGUGGUCCAGUGGUUGGGACUCUGCACUACCAAUGCAGGGGGCCCAGGUUCAAUCCCUGGCCAGGGAA